GGUAGUCCACGCCGUAAACGAUGUCGACUUGGAGGUUGUGCCCUUGAGGCGUGGCUUCCGGAGCUAACGCGUUAAGUCGACCGCCUGGGGAGUACGGCCGCAAGGUUAAAACUCAAAUGAAUUGACGGGGGCCCGCACAAGCGGUGGAGCAUGUGGUUUAAUUCGAUGCAACGCGAAGAACCUUACCUACUCUUGGCAUCCAGAGAACUUAGCAGAGAUGCUUUGGUGCCUUCGGGAACUCUGAGACAGGUGCUGCAUGGCUGUCGUCAGCUCGUGUUGUGAAAUGUUGGGUUAAGUCCCGCAACGAGCGCAACCCUUAUCCUUUGUUGCCAGCGGUUAGGCCGGGAACUCAAAGGAGACUGCCAGUGAUAAACUGGAGGAAGGUGGGGAUGACGUCAAGUCAUCAUGGCCCUUACGAGUAGGGCUACACACGUGCUACAAUGGCGCAUACAAAGAGAAGCGACCUCGCGAGAGCAAGCGGACCUCAUAAAGUGCGUCGUAGUCCGGAUUGGAGUCUGCAACUCGACUCCAUGAAGUCGGAAUCGCUAGUAAUCGUAGAUCAGAAUGCUACGGUGAAUACGUUCCCGGGCCUUGUACACACCGCCCGUCACACCAUGGGAGUGGGUUGCAAAAGAAGUAGGUAGCUUAACCUUCGGGAGGGCGCUUACCACUUUGUGAUUCAUGACUGGGGUGAAGUCGUAACAAGGUAACCGUAGGGGAACCUGC
This 726-nucleotide ribosomal RNA is filed under the name uncultured bacterium. Its description in RNAcentral is "bacterial SSU rRNA". It matches the Rfam family "Bacterial small subunit ribosomal RNA", at positions 789 to 1515 of the family's 1533-position model. The record is from RNAcentral.